AGGCAAGAUGUCGGCAUAGCUGACGUGUUAAUCCGAGUGUAGCUGUGUUACAUCGUGCCAAC
RNAcentral lists this microRNA precursor (62 nucleotides) under Daphnia magna. RNAcentral's name for it is "Dma-Mir-31_pre stem-loop". Lineage: Eukaryota; Metazoa; Arthropoda; Branchiopoda; Diplostraca; Daphniidae. The record is from RNAcentral.